Wasmannia auropunctata (little fire ant) is the source of this 555-nucleotide long non-coding RNA. RefSeq lists it as uncharacterized. The record is from RefSeq and is a predicted model, not a curated record. Lineage: Eukaryota; Metazoa; Arthropoda; Insecta; Hymenoptera; Formicidae. The transcript is spliced from 2 exons.
GCGUUUUCUCUCGAUUCUUCGAGAAGUCCUCAGGCUUUUAUAUUCAAGCACAAUCUUUAAUUUCUAUAUAGAAGAAUUAUUAGUUUUCUGUUACUGCAAACAACUCCCUCUUCGAUUUCCAAGAACGUACUGUCGUCCGACACGCUGAUUACGCCGCGACAAGAAAGAUCGAGACGAUUCGAAAAGCGUAACAGCGAUGACACGGUCACGGUCAAGCGUCCUCGCUGAUCUCGAGUCCACUGAUCGGCCACGCACUAAUCACUCAAAUUUCUGCUGACCCAUCUGAACUUCGUGUAUUUCCGCCCCACUCUCUUCUCGGAGAGCUCAACUGGGAGCUGCUCUCAUUUUUCCGGGCGGUCCGGUUUCAAGACGGAAAGACGAGACGUACACAAAGAUCGUUAUGUUGUUUCAACAGAUUCCUCUUCUUUACAAAAAUGUGAAUUUUCUAAAAUGAUAUUUCAUAAAUGUCACGAAAGUCUUUGUAAAAAGAUAAACUUACUUGUUACAUCUCUAUAUAUGUAUAUUUUAAUUAAUAAUGAAAAGAUAUUCAUCACA